Molecule: ribosomal RNA, 1125 nt
Filed under: Triticum aestivum (bread wheat)
Lineage: Eukaryota; Viridiplantae; Streptophyta; Magnoliopsida; Poales; Poaceae
Description: partial small subunit ribosomal RNA
Source: RNAcentral
AUGGGGAGUUCCAAUCGCCAUUGCUCCAUUUCCUUAGCUGUCCUCUUGGUCUUUGCUUCCCUGCUGCUCAACGCUGAUCUAGGGUCGUGCGGCUGCUUCAAGCGUAUCUUCUCCUUCGGCGACUCCAUCAUUGACACCGGCAACUUCGCAUACACCAUCCGCAACAGACCACCGAGUCCACCCUCGGUGCUUCCUUAUGGAGAGACCUACUUCCACCACCCCACGGGCCGCGCCUCUGACGGGCGUCUCAUCAUCGACUUCUAUGCGCAAGCGUUGGGCCUGCCGCUGCUGCCGCCGAGCUUGCCCGAGGAGAAGACGGGGCAGUUCACCACUGGUGCCAACUUUGCCGUGUUCGGCGCUAUGGCGCUGAACCCGAACUACUUCAAGUCCAGGUAUAACUUGAGUGUACCGUUUCCAUGGAGCCUCAACGAUCAGCUUGCUAGUUUCAACAAAGUGCUCACACGGAUUGCUCCAGGAGAUGCUGCAACAAAGAGGCUCCUGAGCGAGUCCCUGGUCGUCUUUGGUGAGAUUGGGGGCAAUGACUACAACUUUUGGUUCUUUGACUCUGAGCUCAGCAAGGACAGAAACACGCCCCUCCAGUAUAUGCCCGAUAUUAUCGACCGCAUCGGAGCCGGCGUGCAGAAGGUGAUCAACCUCGGCGCCAAGACGAUCCUUGUCCCGGGGAACUUCCCCAUCGGGUGCGUGCCGGUCUACCUUAGUACUCACAAGAGCAAUACAUCUGCCGACUACGACCAGUUCGGCUGCCUCGCGUGGUUCAACGCGUUCUCUCGGAGGCACAACCAGCUGUUGAAGCAGGAGAUCGGCCGGCUCAAGUCCCGGAACCCCAGCGUGAAGAUCAUCUACGCAGACUACUACGGCGCCUUCAUGGAGUUCGUCAAGAAUCCCAACAGGAAUGGCAUUGACAGCCCUCUCGUGGCGUGCUGUGGUGGUAACGGGCCCUGCGGCACCGGCCUUCCGUGCGACCGGAACGCCAAGGUUUGCCGCGACCCAUCAAGGUUCGCCAACUGGGACCAGGUUCACAUGACGGAAAAGGCAUACAGUGUCAUCGCCAGUGGGGUGCUCAAUGGCCCGUAUGCGGACAUCCCUUUGCUCCACGCAUGCUAG